Molecule: transfer RNA, 68 nt
Filed under: Neohermes inexpectatus
Lineage: Eukaryota; Metazoa; Arthropoda; Insecta; Megaloptera; Corydalidae
Also listed under: 1 other name
Description: tRNA-Met
Rfam family: tRNA
About the family: Transfer RNA (tRNA) molecules are approximately 80 nucleotides in length. Their secondary structure includes four short double-helical elements and three loops (D, anti-codon, and T loops). Further hydrogen bonds mediate the characteristic L-shaped molecular structure. tRNAs have two regions of fundamental functional importance: the anti-codon, which is responsible for specific mRNA codon recognition, and the 3' end, to which the tRNAs corresponding amino acid is attached (by aminoacyl-tRNA synthetases). tRNAs cope with the degeneracy of the genetic code in two manners: having more than one tRNA (with a specific anti-codon) for a particular amino acid; and 'wobble' base-pairing, i.e. permitting non-standard base-pairing at the 3rd anti-codon position.
Source: RNAcentral
AAAAAGAUAAGCUAAUUAAGCUAAUGGGUUCAUACCCCAUAUAUAAAGGUUUAAUCCUUUUCUUUUUA